This 400-nucleotide ribosomal RNA is filed under the name phytoplankton environmental sample. Its description in RNAcentral is "partial small subunit ribosomal RNA". It matches the Rfam family "Eukaryotic small subunit ribosomal RNA", at positions 587 to 980 of the family's 1831-position model. The record is from RNAcentral.
AGCUCCAAUAGCGUAUACUAAAGUUGUUGCAGUUAAAAAGCUCGUAGUUGGAUUUCUGACAUGGUGAGCCUAGCCCGGGUAACAUUUUCGUUCUCGUUGAGCUGGUGCGCAUCGGUCAUCCUUCAGGAGAGUGUUUCUGCCCUUGAUUGGGUUGGAAAUAGGAUCCUGAUCGUUUACUUUGAAAAAAUUAGAGUGUUCAAAGCAGGCAUUUGCUGUGAAUACAUUAGCAUGGAAUAAUAAGAUAGGACUUCGGCUCUAUUUUGUUGGUUUCUAGAACUGAAGUAAUGAUUGAUAGGGAUAGUUGGGGGUGCUAGUAUUCAACGGCCAGAGGUGAAAUUCUUGGAUUCGUUGAAGACUAACUUAUGCGAAAGCAUUCACCAAGGAUGUCUUCUUUAAUCAA